RNAcentral lists this ribosomal RNA (433 nucleotides) under uncultured bacterium. Its description in RNAcentral is "partial 16S ribosomal RNA". It matches the Rfam family "Bacterial small subunit ribosomal RNA", at positions 29 to 507 of the family's 1533-position model. The record is from RNAcentral.
AACGAACGCUGGCGGCAGGCCUAACACAUGCAAGUCGAGCGGACCCUUCGGGGUUAGCGGCGGACGGGUGAGUAACGCGUGGGAACGUGCCCUUUGCUUCGGAAUAGCCCUGGGAAACUGGGAGUAAUACCGGAUACGCCCUUUUGGGGAAAGAUUUAUCGGCGAAGGAUCGGCCCGCGUUGGAUUAGGUAGUUGGUGGGGUAAUGGCCUACCAAGCCGACGAUCCAUAGCUGGUUUGAGAGGAUGAUCAGCCACACUGGGACUGAGACACGGCCCAGACUCCUACGGGAGGCAGCGGUGGGGAAUCUUAGACAAUGGGGGAAACCCUGAUCUAGCCAUGCCGCGUGAGCGAUGAAGGCCUUAGGGUUGUAAAGCUCUUUCACCGGGGAAGAUAAUGACGGUACCCGGAGAAGAAGCCCCGGCUAACUCCGUG